This 340-nucleotide ribosomal RNA is filed under the name Streptomycetaceae bacterium ACTS232. RNAcentral describes it as "bacterial SSU rRNA". It matches the Rfam family "Bacterial small subunit ribosomal RNA", at positions 20 to 361 of the family's 1533-position model. The record is from RNAcentral. Lineage: Bacteria; Bacillati; Actinomycetota; Actinomycetes; Kitasatosporales; Streptomycetaceae.
UGGCUCAGGACGAACGCUGGCGGCGUGCUUAACACAUGCAAGUCGAACGAUGAACCACCUUCGGGUGGGGAUUAGUGGCGAACGGGUGAGUAACACGUGGGCAAUCUGCCCUGCACUCUGGGACAAGCCCUGGAAACGGGGUCUAAUACCGGAUACUGAACCGCUUGGGCAUCCAGGCGGUUCGAAAGCUCCGGCGGUGCAGGAUGAGCCCGCGGCCUAUCAGCUUGUUGGUGAGGUAACGGCUCACCAAGGCGACGACGGGUAGCCGGCCUGAGAGGGCGACCGGCCACACUGGGACUGAGACACGGCCCAGACUCCUACGGGAGGCAGCAGUGGGGAA